CAAUUAUUUUUUUUUGUUAAUUUGUUUUUUCGGUUCCGUAUUCUUUUUUAAUAAAUUAAAGUUUGAUUCUUUCUUUAAAGUUUGGAUUUUGAAUUAUUUUAUAUGUAAGUUUUUCUUUUUUUCUAAAUGGUUUUAAUUCAGUAUUUAAUUUUGGUUUUUAUUGAAAUAUAAAAUCAGGAUUUUUAUUUAUAACUGACAAAAAUUGUGCCAGCCGUCGCGGUUAUACAGUUAGUUAAAUUAAACUUUUUUGAUUUAAUAUUAAUUUUGUUUUUUAUAAAUUUAAUUUUAAUUAUUAGGUGAAAUUUUUAUUAAUUAUAUUUUUAUAGGUAAAUGAUUUAUAUAUGAAAAUUAUUAAUAAACUAGGAUUAGAUACCCUAUUAUUAUAAUUGUAAAUUUUUUUUAAUAUUAAUAGUUAUGUUCUUUAAAUUAAAAGAAUUUGGCGGUUAUUUAAUCUUUCUAGAGGAACCUGUCCUGUAAUUGAUAAUCCACGAUUGAUUUUACUUUAAUUUUGCUUAUAUAUCGCUGUCAUUGAAUGUUUUAUAAGAUUAUUUUCUUUUGUUUUUAUGAAUAUAAUGUUAGGUCAAGAUGUGGCUAUAUUAAAGAAGAGAUGGGUUACAUUUAUUUUAUUAAUGAAUUGAAAUUUGAAAUUUUUUCAUGAAAUUGGAUUUAGGUGUAAUUUUUAUAAAAUAAUAAUUUUGAUUUUAGUUCUAAAUAAUGUACACAUCGCCCGUCACUCCCAUUAUGAGUUGGGAUAAGUCGUAACAAAGUAGGCCUACCGGAAGGUGGGCCUGGUCAGU
RNAcentral lists this non-coding RNA (797 nucleotides) under Aquarius elongatus. Lineage: Eukaryota; Metazoa; Arthropoda; Insecta; Hemiptera; Gerridae. The record is from RNAcentral.